This is a long non-coding RNA of Coturnix japonica (Japanese quail), 1667 nucleotides long. Ensembl lists it as uncharacterized. The record is from Ensembl. Lineage: Eukaryota; Metazoa; Chordata; Aves; Galliformes; Phasianidae.
UUGAUUCAUUAGCCUUAAUUUUAGUUAUAUUGUAUUAUAUUGUGUUAUCCUGUAUUUCGAUAUAGAAUUUAGUAAAUAAGUGUGCCUCCUUAGAUUGUUGCCUCUGUUCUCUUUUCUAAUUCCCCUUUUUUCCCUUUCCUUUUGGGCCAGCAAACCUGCAGGCCAGCUGUCCCCCCGUCACUGGCACAGGUAGAUUUUCGCUUAACCCGUGACAUGCAUAAAGCAGCACACAUUAAUACUGUAGUCCUACUUGGUCUGCGUUUUAAAUACAGAAGUCACACUUAGGCUGUAUUAUUCUGCACAGGAAACAUAGCUAUAUUUGUCAGGGGAUGGGAUCAGUGGGACUUCUGUUGUUUUGCAUCCUGAUACACUUCAGUCUGCGGUGAAGCUUGAGAUUCCUUCAAUGUGUACAGCUGAGUAUAAAGACAGUAUUGCACAUCCUAACCAACUCUGCAGGAAUACUAAAACAACGGGCCUUCUUUGGAAACUUACAUCUUAAUAAGGUGCUAAAGAAUUUCUAACUCAGAAAGGCCGAGCAGAGUUUUCUUGCCUCAAGGUGUGCCUCAAGAGGUGCUUUGUGAGGUCAUAAUGGGCAUCAUGGUGAUGUUCAGGAACCCCAUACUAUGUCACGCCAGGAGGUACCAGUUGACCAGUCUUGCCUCAAGCCUCCAAAGGAGGGUGCCUUGCUGGUUGUGGACGAGAGGUAGCAUGGGGCAACUACGGGAGAGAAUUGCUCCCAGGUGUUGCUUUUUGCUCUUCCUUCUCCUUUUCCUUGUGACUCCAUGUCAUGGGCGACCCCGCAAUGUUGCGUGGGAAGCACUUAGUCCAGAUUAUCGUGUCGGUGACACGUAUGAAGCAGAUCCCAUGGAAGGUGAUCUGGAACGUCUCCAGGAUUCCAGGGAUCUGCCUGUACGCCGUAUAUCUGGGAUGCGCCGUUUUCAUCAACCUCAAGGCUACCCCAGGGCUGUUGCACCUCAGAUUCCUUAUCCACGUUCUCAGAUGGAUCUCGAUUUUGGGCCUGAAGAGUAUCCCAAAGCUGCCGGAGGUGUGAGAACUGCAGAGCAUGUGGAACAGAAACAAGGAGGAUAUAAAUCUGCCUUUGCAGUGCUUGCCGUUCUGUUCUUUCUGAUGGUCCUGGCUGCUUUGGCUUACCUGGCAAAACGUCUGCUGAUGAAGAGACAAAAAAAAACAAUGACAUUUGAAGCUGUCAUGAAAAAUGAAGACCCAGCUCCAGCAGAAAAACGACAGCCAGUAGCUCGAAUUACCAUAGAAAUUCAAGAUGUUUCUGGGGAUUCACAGUCACGUCGGAAGGGUCUUGUCCGAUGUAUAUUCUCACCAAUCACUGCCUUAUUCAGACAGUCCCCACAGCAAUCCUCUAAGCUUGACCUUUGCUUGCACUCAGGAAUCUCUGGUACAAGCAAAAAGGCACUAACAUCAGGAAAAGAGGAGAAAAAUGCAUCCUGAUGUGGAAAAGCAGUGAAAUUGGUUGAAUCAUAGAACUCCUGGUGGACUUUCCCAGUUCCAGCAGUCCAUUUCUGAUUCAGUACUUAGGAUGACCAUUAUAGCAUUCACCGCUUAUUCCAUAUCAUGACAUCAUGCCCAAGUUGUUUACAACACAUAUAUGUAUAUCUAAACAGUCAAUAAACUAUAAUUACCAUCAUAGUACA